RNAcentral lists this ribosomal RNA (441 nucleotides) under uncultured bacterium. Its description in RNAcentral is "partial 16S ribosomal RNA". It matches the Rfam family "Bacterial small subunit ribosomal RNA", at positions 28 to 507 of the family's 1533-position model. The record is from RNAcentral.
GAUGAACGCUGGCGGCGUGCCUAAUACAUGCAAGUCGAACGGGGAGUAGCAAUACUCUUAGUGGCGAACGGGUGAGUAACGCGUUGGUACCUGCCCCGAAGCGGGGGAUAACGGACCGAAAGGUCCGCUAAUACCCCAUGUGCUCGGUAACGAGUAAAGGUGAAAACCACUUUGGGAGGGGCCUGCGUCCCAUCAGCUAGUUGGUAAGGUAACGGCUUACCAAGGCGAUGACGGGUAGGGGACCUGAGAGGGUGGCCCCCCACAAUGGAACUGAAACACGGUCCAUACACCUAUGGGUGGCAGCAGUAGGGAAUAUUGGUAAUGGGCGCAAGCCUGAACCAGCAACGCCGCGUGUGCGAUGACGGCCUUCGGGUUGUAAAGCACUUUUGACUGGGACGAGGAAGGACGGUACCGGUCGAAUCAGCCUCGGCUAACUACGUG